Pieris brassicae (large cabbage white) is the source of this 317-nucleotide long non-coding RNA. RefSeq lists it as uncharacterized. Lineage: Eukaryota; Metazoa; Arthropoda; Insecta; Lepidoptera; Pieridae. The record is from RefSeq and is a predicted model, not a curated record. The transcript is spliced from 3 exons.
AGAUCAGUCUCAAACACUUAACUUGCCAAUUUUAAUCUGUGAAAAUGUAAUAAAAGGCCUUCCUCGAAUGUGAUAAUUGAUCCAAAAUCUUCAUUUGCGCCGGAUAUGCUUCUUUCAUAGUGAUACAGUGAAACGUCUUGAUGCUACGAAGAGCUGACCAAUACUGGUGCUCAGCUCCUCGCUCGCAAAAGGACGCAAGGACCUCGCUUAAUACAGAGAGAACUUGGCAGAAAAUGAACAAAGUAGUCGUUCAUUCCCGCUCUCCGCUCCGUCUAGUUGACCUCGUUGUCAGUGGAAGGCGAAAUAAAUUAUUUUAA